RNAcentral lists this ribosomal RNA (145 nucleotides) under Bacillus cereus. RNAcentral's name for it is "partial 23S ribosomal RNA". It matches the Rfam family "Bacterial large subunit ribosomal RNA", at positions 2791 to 2925 of the family's 2925-position model. Lineage: Bacteria; Bacillati; Bacillota; Bacilli; Caryophanales; Bacillaceae. The record is from RNAcentral.
AGCCCCCCUCAAGAUGAGAUUUCCCAUAGCGUAAGCUAGUAAGAUCCCUGAAAGAUGAUCAGGUUGAUAGGUUCGAGGUGGAAGCAUGGUGACAUGUGGAGCUGACGAAUACUAAUAGAUCGAGGACUUAACCAUAUAAUAUGUA